Non-coding RNA from Pelobates cultripes (western spadefoot toad), 298 nucleotides. NCBI's taxonomy places the organism in Eukaryota, Metazoa, Chordata, Amphibia, Anura, Pelobatidae. The record is from the annotation of a GenBank genome assembly.
UGAGAGCCAAAUGGGCGGGAAGUACUGGCGGCAUAGGGGCAAAUAGGGAAACCGGAGACAGAGGCCUGAUCGCUGGCCAAAAUAUCAUCUACACCUACACACAGUACAUUACCACAACUUUCCCUUGGUUACCUCAUGAAGCCACCCACACUACCUAAACUUCGGUUAAGUUGUAUAGCCCUGUACUAUACAUGGUCUUAUGAUAGGAAAUGUAUGAUAUGUGGAGCUGUUGGUUUUCUGUAACCGUUUACUUUACACAUUGAUGCCCUAUGCGAAUGGUACUGUGGAUGAAUCAUUU